CCGACCUGACCCGGGAGCUAAACCAAUCACAGGCCAGGCCUAAGCAGAAUGGCCCCGCCCACUCUUUUUCGGAUCCCUUUUUAUGCCGCUGGAAAGACGUGGCCGUGUUGGGAAGGUUGGGGCUUCGGGACCGAGAAAUGGGGAGCGUUUGCAGACAGGAUGCCGGUUAAACGUUGGAGAGAAUGGGGAUGAGGAGGCUAGAGCUGUAGCUGAAGGAGCAGAGGUGUUACGAGGAGAGCACUCUGGAUGUACUUCGUGACGCGAGACCGUGAGGGGGGUGACUCUGUCAUAGAGGCGGAGCGGGCGCGCAGCGCUUAGCUCCAGGGGUUAGAGGUCCCGCUCAGCCGACAGCUCUCGCAGCGGACCACCCGGAAGACAGUGCGGUGAGAGGCAGAUGGGGACCUCCUCCGAGGGGCCCUCGAGGACCCCUGGCCUUGGGCCUGGCGGGUGAGGUGGGGGGGCCUGGGGACAGUCUGAGGACUGUGUCCUGCAGAGCUCGAGAGCCCUCGCCACUGCCGCCCGCUGGCCGGGCCCGGGCCUUGAAGCAGACGGGAACCUCUCCCCCAUCCCUGCCUCUGGGACCUAAUGGCGGCUGUGGUCUCCAUGGGUCAAAGUCCGCAGGACCCUGCCUCUGUUUGCGCUGCCAGAGGAGCCUGAAGUCUGACUGGGGCCGGGGCACCCGGCUCCCUCAGUGAUGACAGCUGGGCAGGGUCUGGAGGCCUGGCCCUGAGGGCGCCGCCAACUGAGAUCCACCUCUUCAGCCAGGCCUGGGCACUGGGGGAGCAUCUAGUCUGGGUGCUGGACCAACGCUCCUGGGCAGGGUAAGCGGCCUGCGCAGGGACCCCCUCCUCUUAGCCCGGGCCUGGACCUCUGAAAGCUGAGCCUUGGGACCUUGCCCUUUCUUGUCAGAACAGAGAAUAACAUUUGUUUUGGUGGAGGUUUCCAGGAACGUCGUGACCUGACCUCAAGAACAAGGGAUCUGAUAGCAAGAAGUGUGCAACAGCUAACCACACCCCUCCCUCACCUUUCCUGUAAAAGGGCUUUGCUGAAAGCUUUCAGGGAGUUCAGGGUUUUUAUGGCAUGAACCACCGGUCUCUUUGCCUGGCCCUGCAAUAAACCUUUCUCUGCUCCAAA
Long non-coding RNA from Eubalaena glacialis (North Atlantic right whale), 1134 nucleotides. RefSeq lists it as uncharacterized. NCBI's taxonomy places the organism in Eukaryota, Metazoa, Chordata, Mammalia, Artiodactyla, Balaenidae. The record is from RefSeq and is a predicted model, not a curated record. The transcript has 2 exons.